RNAcentral lists this long non-coding RNA (676 nucleotides) under Elaeis guineensis (African oil palm). Its description in RNAcentral is "long non-coding RNA (EGUI_LNC047218)". The record is from RNAcentral. Lineage: Eukaryota; Viridiplantae; Streptophyta; Magnoliopsida; Arecales; Arecaceae.
AUCAUCCUUUUUGAGAGUGCUAGCUCGCAUCGAAGGCUUUGGAUGGCUGAUUCAAGCUUCUUUUUUUAAAUCAUCCGAAUUCUUCUAGAUCAGAAGAUAGAGCUUUAUGAGAAGGUGGCGGUGUGGAAGAUUGAAAAUUCUAGAACCCACCCUAGACCUCACGCCCAAAAGGAAGAUCACUUCCUCUAUUUCUCAUGCACAGAACCCCACCCCCUCUCUAUUUCAUGCCCCCUCUAUCUCAGAAGAUUAUUUCCAUAGUAAAACUUCUCCUUUUUGUCACACAAAAUGAGAAGGAUUUUAAAGAUGGCAUUGGAGAGGAAAGGGAUAAGGAUGAAGUGGUUAAAAGAAGUUCAAAUUCAAAACAAUUUGAAUUCAAAAUAUAACCAAUUGAUCCUUAUCCAUUAGGGGUGCAAAAGAGAGGUGAGAAACCUCAAAUUAGCAUGGAAAAACAUCACACAAAAAAUUUUCUCAUGCAAAGGGGAGAGAAGUCUGCGUGGGGAAGAGUCCAACUUGUUUUGGACUCUAACUUCUCAUUCAAGUUCAAACUUUUAAACUCAAAAUUAAAACCAACUUCAUUCAAAAUCAAAAGAGAUCAGAAGUGGGUGUUAAUCUCUUCUAGCUGUGAGAAAAAAAUCACACAAAAACUUUUCUCGCAUGAAGAAAAGGUGGGCAUAGA